UACGUAGGGUGCGAGCGUUAAUCGGAAUUACUGGGCGUAAAGCGUGCGCAGGCGGUUCGUUGUGUCCGUCGUGAAAGCCCCGGGCUUAACCUGGGAACUGCGAUGGAAACUAGCGAGCUGGAGUGUGGCAGAGGGGGGUGGAAUUCCUGGUGUAGCGGUGGAAUGCGCAGAUAUCAGGAGGAACACCAAUAGCGAAGGCAGCUCGCUGGGACGGUACUGACGCUAAGGCGCGAAAGCGUGGGGAGCGAACAGG
Molecule: ribosomal RNA, 253 nt
Filed under: uncultured bacterium
Lineage: Bacteria
Description: partial 16S ribosomal RNA
Rfam family: Bacterial small subunit ribosomal RNA
Source: RNAcentral